RNAcentral lists this ribosomal RNA (495 nucleotides) under uncultured bacterium. Its description in RNAcentral is "partial 16S ribosomal RNA". It matches the Rfam family "Bacterial small subunit ribosomal RNA", at positions 28 to 507 of the family's 1533-position model. The record is from RNAcentral.
GACGAACGCUGGCGGCGUGCCUAAUACAUGCAAGUAGAACGCUGAAGGAGGAGCUUGCUUCUCUGGAUGAGUUGCGAACGGGUGAGUAACGCGUAGGUAACCUGCCUGGUAGCGGGGGAUAACUAUUGGAAACGAUAGCUAAUACCGCAUAAGAGUAGAUGUUGCAUGACAUUUGCUUAAAAGGUGCAAUUGCAUCACUACCAGAUGGACCUGCGUUGUAUUAGCUAGUUGGUGGGGUAACGGCUCACCAAGGCGACGAUACAUAGCCGACCUGAGAGGGUGGUCGGCCAACCUGGGAAUGAGACAAGGCCCAGACUCCUACGGGGGGCAGCAGUAGGGGAUCUUUGGCCAUAGGCGGAAGUCUUGACGAGCAAAGGCGGGGGGGUGGAGAAGGUUUUCGGAUCGUAAAGGUCUGUUGUGAGAGGAGAACGGGUGUGAGAGUGGAAAGUUCACGCUGUGACGGUAUCUAAACAGAAAGGGACGGCUAACUACGUG